GAAUCUGUAAUGCUAUUCUUGGCUUCACCUUUCACUUCCCCAAGGAGAAAACCUUCCUAUGGAUAAAAAUAAGAAGUGAAAACAAAAGGAAUGUUUCCACAAUGUGAGUGUCUACUGGACAAAAAGAGGACCAAUCCAGAAUUCUACACUCUAGUACUCUAGACAAGUUCCGGGAAAGGAAGCAAGGACAAUGCAAGUAUAAUUACCUAGAAGAUCACUGUUUAAAGACUAUAGGAAAAAGAUCUAAGAAACAGGGGCCUAAUAUUAUGGUACUUUCCAUGGGGUAAUUAUGCUAGAGGACUUAAGGACUCACUCUGUUUAUAUUUACAUUAAGACAUUCCAAAAUAAUUUCCGCAGAUGCAUACA
Molecule: non-coding RNA, 366 nt
Organism: Miniopterus natalensis
Lineage: Eukaryota; Metazoa; Chordata; Mammalia; Chiroptera; Miniopteridae
Source: RefSeq, a predicted model, not a curated record